AGAGUUUGAUCGAUGGCUCAGAACGAACGCUGGCGGCAUGCCUAACACAUGCAAGUCGAACGAGACCUUCGGGUCUAGUGGCGCACGGGUGCGUAACGCGUGGGGAUCUGCCCUUUAGCUUCGGAAUAACAGUUAGAAAUGACUGCUAAUACCGGAUGAUGACUUCGGUCCAAAGAUUUAUCGGCAAAGGAUGAACCCGCGUAGGAUUAGCUAGUUGGUGGGGUAAAAGGCCUACCAAGGCGACGAUCCUUAGCUGGUCUGAGAGGAUGAUCAGCCACACUGGGACUGAGACACGGCCCAGACUCCUACGGGAGGCAGCAGUGGGAAUAUUGGACAAUGGGCGAAAGCCUGAUCCAGCAAUGCCGCGUGAGUGAUGAAGGCCUUAGGGUUGUAAAGCUCUUUUACCCGGGAUGAUAAUGACAGUACCGGGAGAAUAAGCUCCGGCUAACUCCGUG
RNAcentral lists this ribosomal RNA (455 nucleotides) under uncultured bacterium. RNAcentral describes it as "bacterial SSU rRNA". It matches the Rfam family "Bacterial small subunit ribosomal RNA", at positions 8 to 507 of the family's 1533-position model. The record is from RNAcentral.